Long non-coding RNA from Tyto alba (common barn owl), 486 nucleotides. RefSeq lists it as uncharacterized. The transcript has 3 exons. The record is from RefSeq and is a predicted model, not a curated record. Lineage: Eukaryota; Metazoa; Chordata; Aves; Strigiformes; Tytonidae.
CUGAAGUUGUGUGAAUUGAUCAUACUCCUAUUAUCUGGUCUUCAGAGACAGAGAAUUGCUGGCUACAGCUGACUGACUGGCAAGACUCCUUUUGGAAGGGGCCUAUCAGAAGAGAGAACAGUUAUCAAAUUUCCUCUGAAAAAGAAAAGGAGAAAGCUAAGCAGAUAUUUAAAGUCUCAGCGUUUUCAGAAGACACCAUUUAAGCAUUACUGAUUUUUUCAAAUUGCUAUCUAUUAGGUGCUCAGUUUCCAUCAUUGGUCAUAUAUAAAGCCCUCAUGGUGCUGAUGCAGCCUACAGCACGAAAUUUAAGCUAAAAUAUCAAACAUCCUACAAUCAAGUCCCUUUUUGCUAGAAAAGUUUGGGUCUCUGAUCCCUUCUGCAAGGUUCUGGAAACUCUGAAUUGUAGGUUCAAGACACCUUUCAGGACUGGACCUCUGUGAGCAAAGUCAUUGCAUUAUGGGUUUUGCAGCACAGUUCAUAGUUCCA